UGGUGGCGUGUCUUAUACAUGCAAGUCGAGCGGGGCAGCAAUGCCCAGCGGCGAACGGGUGAGUAACGCGUAAGCAAUCUGCCCCAUAUCAGGAAAUACCCGUGCCAACGCGCGGUUAAUGUCCAGGAGCGUGGCUUCCCGCAUGGGAAGUUGACAAGAGAUUUAUCGGUAUGGGAUGAGCUUGCGUCCGAUUAGCUAGUUGGCGGGGCAACGGCCCACCAAGGCGACGAUCGGUAGCCGGCCUGAGAGGGUGAUCGGCCACAUUGGGACUGAGAUACGGCCCAGACUCCUACGGGAGGCAGCAGUAGGGAAUAUUGCACAAUGGGGGAAACCCUGAUGCAGCAACGCCACGUGUGGGAAGAAGCAUUUCGGUGUGUAAACCACUGUCGUGAGGGAAUAAGGCGUCUUCUCGGAGACGUUGAAUGUACCUCGAAAGGAAGCACCGGCAAACUUCGUGCCAGCAGCCGCGGUAAUACGAGGGGUGCAAGCGUUGUUCGGAAUCACUGGGCGUAAAGGGAGCGUAGGCGGAGAUGCAAGCGGACUGUACAAUACCGGGGCCCAACCCCGGGCCUGCAGUUCGGACUGCACCUCUUGGAUAGUUCAGGGGCAGGCGGAAUUCCUGGUGUAGCGGUGGAAUGCGUAGAGAUCAGGAAGAACACCGAUGGCGAAGGCAGCCUGCUGGGGACUCAUCGACGCUGAGGCUCGAAAGUGCGGGUAGCAAACAGGAUUAGAUACCCUGGUAGUCCGCACCGUAAACGAUGCAUACUGGGUGUCCGGGGUUCGCCCCGGGUACCGCAGCAAACGCGUUAAGUAUGCCGCCUGGGGAGUACGUACGCAAGUAUGAAACUCAAAGGAAUUGACGGGGGCCCGCACAAGCGGUGGAGCAUGUG
This 890-nucleotide ribosomal RNA is filed under the name Fibrobacter succinogenes. RNAcentral describes it as "bacterial SSU rRNA". It matches the Rfam family "Bacterial small subunit ribosomal RNA", at positions 37 to 943 of the family's 1533-position model. The record is from RNAcentral. Lineage: Bacteria; Pseudomonadati; Fibrobacterota; Fibrobacteria; Fibrobacterales; Fibrobacteraceae.